CCUACGGGAGGCAGCAGUGGGGAAUAUUGGGCAAUGGACGCAAGUCUGACCCAGCAACGCCGCGUGAAGGAAGAAGGCUUUCGGGUUGUAAACUUCUUUUAAGGGGGAAGAGCAGAAGACGGUACCCCUUGAAUAAGCCACGGCUAACUACGUGCCAGCAGCCGCGGUAAUACGUAGGUGGCAAGCGUUGUCCGGAUUUACUGGGUGGAAAGGGCGUGCAGCCGGAGAGACAAGUCAGAUGUGAAAUCCAUGGGCUCAACCCGUGAACUGCAUUUGAAACUGUUUCCCUUGAGUGUCGGAGAGGUAAUCGGAAUUCCUUGUGUAGCGGUGAAAUGCGUAGAUAUAAGGAAGAACACCAGUGGCGAAGGCGGAUUACUGGACGAUAACUGACGGUGAGGCGCGAAAGCGUGGGGAGCAAACAGGAUUAGAUACCCGUGUAGUC
Molecule: ribosomal RNA, 442 nt
Filed under: uncultured bacterium
Lineage: Bacteria
Description: partial 16S ribosomal RNA
Rfam family: Bacterial small subunit ribosomal RNA
Source: RNAcentral